Small nucleolar RNA from Peromyscus eremicus (cactus mouse), 67 nucleotides. RefSeq annotates it as small nucleolar RNA U54. The record is from RefSeq and is a predicted model, not a curated record. NCBI's taxonomy places the organism in Eukaryota, Metazoa, Chordata, Mammalia, Rodentia, Cricetidae. The transcript has a single exon.
CGGCGGUGAGGAGACCCCUACUGUCUUGAACUGCAGUGAUGUUCUUAUACGCUAUUCUGAGCCGAUA